Molecule: ribosomal RNA, 380 nt
Filed under: uncultured eukaryote
Lineage: Eukaryota
Description: partial 18S ribosomal RNA
Rfam family: Eukaryotic small subunit ribosomal RNA
Source: RNAcentral
CAAUAGCGUAUAUUAAAGUUGUUGCAGUUAAAAAGCUCGUAGUUGGAUUUGUGGCGUACGGUGGGUUCCGGGCACUUGUUGUCUGAGUAACUUGCUGUUGCCAUCCUUGGGUGGAACCUGUGUGGCAUUAGGUUGUCGUGCAGGGGAUGCCCAUCAUUUACUGUGAAAAAAUUAGAGUGUUCAAAGCAGGCUUAUGCCGUUGUAUAUAUUAGCAUGGAAUAAUGAGAUAGGACUUUUUUGCUAUUUUGUUGGUUUGCGCAAAGAGGUAAUGAUUAAUAGGGACAGUUGGGGGUAUUCGUAUUCCAUUGUCAGAGGUGAAAUUCUUGGAUUUUUGGAAGACGAACUACUGCGAAAGCAUUUACCAAGGAUGUUUUCAUUAA